CUAAAUGAGUUUCCACCCCUUUUUCCGGCUUCUUAGGGGAUGCAGAACGGCAGCCCUUUCCACUAAACAGAACCCCGGGUGUGGACAUUUUGACAUCAGGCCCACCCCCAAAACGCAUGGUGCCUGUGCCUAGAUCUAACUGGCAGCCAAUGUCUCUGAGGAAGUCUAAGCCCAGGAUACAGGGGUCCUGCACACUAGCUACCCACACUAGGUGUUUUACUGUCUUACCCCCCACAGUCAGUGACAUCAGUUUUUUUCCUAACAUAGGAGCAGUCUCACCGGUAACAGUUCGCAGUUGCACAGCAGUUGGUUCCCAAGCCACCCACUCAGGAACAAUGUCCGGCCGCACAAUCGUCACAGUGGACCCAGUGUCCACCAAGGCUGUACACCCUGUCCCCUCCACCGCAAUUGGUAUGUGACAGAAGUCGCCAGCCGUCGUGCGCCCCACCACAACAAUUCUAUUUGAAUUUCCCCUCCCUUUCCCUUGAGUGCCCUGUAGCUGCCUGGUAUGUGGGGGCGUGUCUAUGGUCCGUACCGCCCCCUCUGUACGAACCCCUUCCCGUUUCCCUGGGACUUGGUAGCUGAAGGGCAGUCACGGAGCAAAUGACCGGGCUGGCCACACCCCCAGCAGGCUAAGGGGCCAGAACGCCGUCUGCGCUGCUCAUUGGCCUGGGUCGAAGCAUGCAAAGACAUGGCACGGAUAAGCUCUGUCAUUUCAGUCGCCCACGUCGGCUUUUCCUCUCUCACCGUGCAUGGUUCCGCCGUUCUCACCACCGCGGAAUCUCCUGCUCUCCUCCCGGCAGCCUCCCCCCAGAUGACCUCGUUCCUCCUCGCUACCUCGAACGCCUCCUGCAGCGAACGUGGUCCCGCCAGCUGGGUUUGUGCUCGCAGUUCCGGAGGAGUCAAAGCCAAGAUGAAACGGUCGCGGGCUAGUUCAUCCUGCACGGUCGGCGACAUGUGACCGUAAGCUCGCCGGGUCAGGCCCUCGAUGUCGUUAACCAACGAUCUGAGCGAUUCUCCCGGUAACCUUACUCUACGGCCCAGUGCCGGAAGAAUUAGUUCAGGAUGUCUGUCACGACCGUAUCUCCGAGUAAGUGCCCCGACUAGCGCCCCAUAAUCACGUCUUUGAUCCGGGCUAAGCAAUAUCAGGCAAGCAACUGCUUCUCCGGAUAGGCACAUCGCUAACUGCAGCGCUCUCUGCUCCUCCUUCCAGCCAACCGAGUCUGCUAAAAGUUCGAAUUGGGCCAUGAAAGCUUCAAAGUCGGCAUCACCAGAGAACUUAGGUGUCUUCACGCUACAGUUAGCCACCGGGUACUGCGCCGCGCCAUCUUUGUUGACAUUGCCAUAGUAAUGCUGAUCGUCGCGCCGUGACGUCGGCAUUGGGUCCUUUAUGUCCGGAGCGGCGCCCUGUAGUUGCGUCAGAUCCAGCUUGGCGGGUAAAGCACCGACGAAGACGUUCUCUCUCCCCCUCAGGUCUCGCGCCCAGCAUCUUCCCUCACGCGACUCGAUACGUUAUCCGAGUUGACGACUAAACUAGCCCUCCGACCGAGGCGGCAGUUCGAAAGCACUUCUGACACCAGUGUAACACCCCUGGUCGGGAUGCUAAAUCAGGAGCCGGAGUCAGAGGAGUGGAGCCACGAGAGAGAGAGAGCUUCCCAAAACCCCACCUUAUAUAAGCUAUGGCCUGAGACCCCUGGACCCGCCCCUGCUUUCCCCAAGUCCCCCAGAGAUGCCCUCCUCACUGCGGGACAUCCCACCAGGUAAACCAGCCCCACCUAACUGUCAGGCCCCACCCC
Molecule: long non-coding RNA, 1796 nt
Organism: Esox lucius (northern pike)
Lineage: Eukaryota; Metazoa; Chordata; Actinopteri; Esociformes; Esocidae
Exons: 3
Source: RefSeq, a predicted model, not a curated record